CUCAGAUUGAACGCUGGCGGCAGGCCUAACACAUGCAAGUCGAGCGGAUGAAGGGAGCUUGCUCCUUGAUUUAGCGGCGGACGGGUGAGUAAUGCCUAGGAAUCUGCCUGGUAGUGGGGGAUAACGUUCCGAAAGGAACGCUAAUACCGCAUACGUCCUACGGGAGAAAGCAGGGGACCUUCGGGCCUUGCGCUAUCAGAUGAGCCUAGGUCGGAUUAGCUAGUUGGUGAGGUAAUGGCUCACCAAGGCGACGAUCCGUAACUGGUCUGAGAGGAUGAUCAGUCACACUGGAACUGAGACACGGUCCAGACUCCUACGGGAGGCAGCAGUGGGGAAUAUUGGACAAUGGGCGAAAGCCUGAUCCAGCCAUGCCGCGUGUGUGAAGAAGGUCUUCGGAUUGUAAAGCACUUUAAGUUGGGAGGAAGGGCAUUAACCUAAUACGUUAGUGUUUUGACGUUACCGACAGAAUAAGCACCGGCUAACUUCGUGCCAGCAGCCGCGGUAAUACGAAGGGUGCAAGCGUUAAUCGGAAUUACUGGGCGUAAAGCGCGCGUAGGUGGUUCGUUAAGUUGGAUGUGAAAGCCCCGGGCUCAACCUGGGAACUGCAUCCAAAACUGGCGAGCUAGAGUACGGUAGAGGGUGGUGGAAUUUCCUGUGUAGCGGUGAAAUGCGUAGAUAUAGGAAGGAACACCAGUGGCGAAGGCGACCA
RNAcentral lists this ribosomal RNA (709 nucleotides) under Ectopseudomonas alcaliphila. RNAcentral's name for it is "bacterial SSU rRNA". It matches the Rfam family "Bacterial small subunit ribosomal RNA", at positions 23 to 727 of the family's 1533-position model. The record is from RNAcentral. Lineage: Bacteria; Pseudomonadati; Pseudomonadota; Gammaproteobacteria; Pseudomonadales; Pseudomonadaceae.